UCAAGAAACUUUUACAUCAUUUAUCCCAUUGGUGGCAAGCUCCCUUUAAGCAAACAAGUAUAUUUAGAAAGUAAUCUCGUUGUCUCCUGUAGUAGACAAUAAGAUAGCUAGUUAGCCAUCUGCGCUAGCUAGUUAGCCAUCAGCGCUAACUCCGUGCUCUGCUUGUAUUUCGUGCUGCUGUUUCUAACGUUUAGCUCUCAGAAGCUAAUACUUCAGUCAGCAUGACGAACUAAGCUAGUGGUCUUACAGGUUCAUUUUUUUCACAAGUUACAAUGUCGUGUUUUUCAUGUACUUAGGGUGAGUGUUUAUUUCUGUUCAAGAAUCCUUUCCACGUGCAAAGCCUACUCCACCUCCGUCAUGGAGCCCCGAGCUCCCCUGCCUCCUCUCCAGCACCAGCUUCGACACCACUACCAGCUCGGACACCGACACUGUCAACAUCAACCUACAGCACGUCACAGCAACGUCUUAUCACUGUGCACCGACCAAACAGUAAACUAUCAGGACGGCGGUACCUUUAUGAUCCUUGAGGCUGCGGGUUUCCAAGGCACCAGUGGAACCAGUGUCUGAUUCCACGUCAUCCACAGAUGGACGCUCCGACACGUCAGACGGUGUGGUUUCGUCUUGGUCCGGGUGAUGUCCUGCCCCGUAAUGGUUGCCAUGCAUGGCUGCAUCCAUGGCUGCAGCGUAGCCGCUUGAUAUUGCACAGUUUUCCUCUGAUAGUGGAACCUGAUGAGUGAGUGAAGCGGAGUAUAUGAAUAUAUGUUAGUAUUUAAUGAAACUCCAAGCUAAACAACACUCCUUGAGAUCAACAUUUUUCUGACUAUUACGCUAAAAAUACAGUUUACUCUUAGAGGGUGACAAUAGUCAGCCUCCUUAGAUUUCAUUAUAAUGAGACCUGAAUGUUGCACCGAUUAGUGUGUCAAGUGCGCUGACUUGCACUCAGUAUGUUUCUACAGAUUUCGAGGCAAAAAUGAGGUCAGAAGAUUCUCAUUCUGCUACAAAGUGGUCCAGAGGGGGGCUGUGGACUAAAUUUAGAUCACACUAAUUUUGCCUGGCUCUAUGUCAUUGUAUUUUAGAUACCUAGUGGUAGUUGAUGCCUUAUUGCUCAUAAAAUCAUAGCAAAGUCUGAAUAUUUUUUUAUCAUUUGUGGCUGUGUAAAUAACUGAUGUACUGUCACUGAAAAUUAAGUUUUCAAAUCAAAGUAUUUGCACUUAAUAAAAGACAACCCAUUGUAUAUGUACAAAGUAGGGAGGAACGGUCCAGUUUUAGCAGUUAUGGUAUAAAUUCUACAAGACACAGAGUCCGUUCUCUGACCUUUGACACACCCGAGAUGAUUAGCGUGCUUCUUUUUGUCGGAGUCUUCCGAACUACUUUGGACUCUGUCAGCUGCCGGAUGGCGGUCUCUGCAACAGGAUCCAGGCCAUUAGACAGGCGGCUGCUCUCUGAGCAACAAAAACAUAAAUAUGUAAAUAAGAACUAUACUACUAAACUGAGAUAUAGUUUGUCAAACACAUACACAUGCAGAUCCUUAUGAAAACUCUCUAUUGUAUUCAUCAUGCUUCUUUUGUUCUUUGCUUUGCGUAAGCUAGUAUUUUCCCUGUGUGAACCUGUUGCAGAGAUACGUGAGGAACUUGCACAGACCCAUGAUGAGUACAGAAAAGAGCAUUCCUCUCAACUCAUGUUACACUGCUGCUUGUUGCUUGUCCUACUUUGCAUCUCUUAUGUAAAACAAUGUCUGUGUUUCAGUCUACAACUCACUGCUGGGGUUUGGGCUGCUGCUGCCUCUGCCGUCAGACAGGAUAGUGGGUUUCUUCUCAACCACCUCCACUUUGGAUGGAGAACGCAUAGGGGAAUCACCUGAAAGACAGCACAGCUAUUAAAUUCCAUUGUUAAGAUUA
This is a long non-coding RNA of Amphiprion ocellaris (clown anemonefish), 1898 nucleotides long. RefSeq lists it as uncharacterized. NCBI's taxonomy places the organism in Eukaryota, Metazoa, Chordata, Actinopteri, Pomacentridae. The record is from RefSeq and is a predicted model, not a curated record. The transcript has 2 exons.